RNAcentral lists this ribosomal RNA (330 nucleotides) under uncultured eukaryote. RNAcentral's name for it is "partial 18S ribosomal RNA". It matches the Rfam family "Eukaryotic small subunit ribosomal RNA", at positions 1470 to 1796 of the family's 1831-position model. The record is from RNAcentral.
CCCUUAGAUGUUCUGGGCCGCACGCGCGCUACACUGAUGCAUUCAACGAGUCUAAAACCUGGUCUGAUAGGGCUGGGUAAUCUUUUGAAAGUGCAUCGUGAUUGGGAUAGAUGAUUGCAAUUCUUCAUCUUCAACGAGGAAUGCCUAGUAAACGCAAGUCAUCAGCUUGCAUUGAUUACGUCCCUGCCCUUUGUACACACCGCCCGUCGCUCCUACCGAUUGAAUGAUCCGAUGAAUACCAUGGAUUGAGAGUUCGAAUAGGUUCGCCUAUUUCAGCUUCUCGAGAAGGGGAGUAAAUCUUAUCAUUUAGAGGAAGGAGAAGUCGUAACA